Molecule: small RNA, 132 nt
Filed under: Arabidopsis thaliana (thale cress)
Lineage: Eukaryota; Viridiplantae; Streptophyta; Magnoliopsida; Brassicales; Brassicaceae
Description: ATSL210020
Source: RNAcentral
UGAUUAAUUUAUCGAUUUGUGUCACUUUUUAGACUGGUACCAACUCGCGACCGAAAGAAUUUAUUAAUUUAUAGAGGUUAUUAAUUUAUCGAGUAAUAAUUUAUAGAGGUUUUACUGUAUAUAUAUUAUGUU